CCUACGGGUGGCAGCAGUGAGGAAUAUUGGUCAAUGGACGCGAGCCUGAACCAGCCAAGUAGCGUGAAGGAUGACUGCCCUAUGGGUUGUAAACUUCUUUUAUAAGGGAAUAAAAUGAAGUAUGUAUACCUUUUUGCAUGUACUUUAUGAAUAAGGAUCGGCUAACUCCGUGCCAGCAGCCGCGGUAAUACGGAGGAUCCGAGCGUUAUCCGGAUUGAUUGGGUUUAAAGGGAGCGUAGGUGGGUUGUUAAGUCAGUUGUGAAAGUUUGCGGCUCAACCGUAAAAUUGCAGUUGAUACUGGCAGCCUAGAGUACAGUAGAGGUGGGUGGAAUUCGUGGUGUAGCGGUGAAAUGCUUAGAUAUCACGAAGAACCCCGAUUGCGAAGGCAGCUUCCUGGACUGUGACUGACGCUGAUGCUCGAAAGUGUGGGUAUCAAACAGGAUUAGAUACCCGGGUAGUC
RNAcentral lists this ribosomal RNA (460 nucleotides) under uncultured bacterium. RNAcentral's name for it is "partial 16S ribosomal RNA". It matches the Rfam family "Bacterial small subunit ribosomal RNA", at positions 338 to 795 of the family's 1533-position model. The record is from RNAcentral.